UCAACUGGGAUGCUAUAAUGUUAUGAGUUUAGAUGAAAUUGUAUCUUUCCUAUAGGUAGCGUAGCCAAGAUCUGUUUCAGAGCCCACGGGUGGAAAAAAACCAAGCCCUGUUUCUCUUCUUUCUCUGUUCCCUUAUUUCCCUCCCUUCUCCCUAUUGUCAACUGGGGGAAAUUGGCAAUGAGGUUGCAUGUGCGUGCACUUGGGUUGGGGCCAGAGGAACAACCCCAAAAGCCUCCUUCCUGCAGCUGCAAUAAACAAGAAAGUGAAAUGUAGUGUGUGCAUACACUCAGCCAAAGAACUUGACUUGAACAUUUUAAUUGUGGGGGUGCAUUUUUACCUUUUUUCUUCUUUUCUAGAGUGCUAUCUAAGAUUUUUCCGUUACAGCAAGCUUUUAAAAUCCUGCAUUGAUUUUUAAAAGGAUUUUUCUAUCAUAAGCAAAAUAUAGGACAUGAUUUGGCUGUAUUUUUGUCAGCCAUUCAGUUAUUUGUAGCCUACUGUCUCUCUAUUACUCAGAUUAUUUCCUUUUUUUACCAACCCUUUUCAUAAGACUUCUCAUUGUCUGAAGGCGGAAGUUUCCAAGCUAGUGCUGCCCAAGCUGCGUUUCACAAGAGUAAAAAUGAGGAAAUGAUUAAAUGUAUUUGAAUUUUAUCAUGCUUUCAGUUUUAAUAGCAUUGGGACUCUUGUCGCUGUACCACAUUUAGUCAUAACCUCGAAUUUCCUUAUGGCUCUGGGCAGUAGAAUUUGUCUGAUGGAGAAGCGUGUCCUGCCAGUGCUCCCUGAGGAGCGAAUCCCCUGCCGCUGCGAAGCGCCGGGCUCAUGGCGUGGGAUAAAGCAGUUGUAUGUGCCAUUGCCCCCUGCUGGAAAGCGCCUGGAAUACUGAUUUCUACAUGGUAAAACAAAGGCUGUAGUGAAACCCGUCCUCUCCCAGGAAGAGGUGGGAGGGAAUUUUAUAUGAGCGAGAAACUUUGCCUCAAGUCGAAAUCUGGGGCCUGGACUAAUGAACUACCUGUAAUUCAUAUUGUACUCAAUAUUGCUGAAACUAGGCAUGUACUAAUCCUGAACCAUGCCAAACUAUGCAUAAUUACCAUGCUUUCUCUGUGGCAGUAAUUAAUUUGCGUUAGCAACUUUGAUUAAUCUUUCUAAUCUAAAAGUAAAGUGCUUCUCAGACAUGAAAGGCUCCGUAACUGCUCAGGGUUGUUAUUGUAGCCCAGUGAAGGGUGUUUCGAGCCGAUGGGGGGCAGGAGGGGAACAACACUUAAAAAAAUUAAAGUAUAGCUGAUAUUUAUGAACUCAGGACUAUUAUUAACAGUUAAUGCAUUCCGUUUUGCCACAGAAUUCACUGUCUGAAAUACAGGCUUCUGUACACAGUACACUCCUCCUGGAAGAGAAUUGUCAUUAAUUCGUUAAGAAGGCUUCUCUGAGGGCUGUUCCACAAAGAUGAGGUUACAUGCCAAACAGAGGGACUGAGAUUCCAUCUUUAGAGGGCAAGGUUACGUAUUUAAAGUUUGUAACGUUGCAGAGCAAACUUACGCAUAUAUUCAUUUUAGUCUUAACCUGGAGGACAGCAUUGUUCUAGGCAUGGUUGUUCAACUGACUCAGUCUUCAUUGCCAGGCCAGAAAGGGUGUCAGCUGGGGAGUGAUUUGGACAUGCCUGCUUUUCAGGAAAUAUGGAUGCUAACAUCAUUAACUUAGUCUAUGUUGACAAACAGAGAGCUAUCAGAUGCUAACCUACAAACUAAAUUCUGACAUCACUGGAGAUCUAAGUUUCCAUCCUUCAUUGUCAACCUCUUGGCCCAAGCCACGCUCUUCACCCAAAGAAUCCAAAGCUGCUGAAAGGGCUUAUGUCAUCAAGUGGUGACUGUGAUUUACCUAGACUUCAUAAACUGUCGCAUCUACCAAAGGUAAAAUUGCUGAGGCAAAUAGAUGUGGCUCUACAAACCCAUUACAAAUACUACAGGGGUUUUAAGUUAACAUUGUGUUGCUUGUUUUCUCCCUCAGACAUGCUAACAUUACAGUUAUUUUACUCUGGUUCCCCUGUGAGCACUGUUUCCUGGCAAGGAAUACUGCUGCAUGUAAUUCAUGAUAGGCAGAAUGACAUGAUAAUCGUUUGGAAAGUGAUAAUCUAGAGAUUAGUAAUGAAUUUCACUUUGAUUUAGAUGAGUUUAAAAGAUUUGCUGCUAUUACCUUCAAGUCUGGGAUCAAUUCUGUUUCAACAAGUGAGAGAAGCAUUUUUAAAAUACGUAACUUAUUAGAAAA
Long non-coding RNA from Pezoporus occidentalis (night parrot), 2256 nucleotides. RefSeq lists it as uncharacterized. The transcript is spliced from 2 exons. The record is from RefSeq and is a predicted model, not a curated record. Lineage: Eukaryota; Metazoa; Chordata; Aves; Psittaciformes; Psittacidae.